CAGCCGCCGCGGUAAUACAGAGGGUGCAAGCGUUAAUCGGAAUUACUGGGCGUAAAGCGCGCGUAGGUGGUUCGCCAAGUUGGAUGUGAAAUCCCCGGGCUCAACCUGGGAACUGCAUCCAAAACUGGCGAGCUAGAGUAUGGUAGAGGGUGGUGGAAUUUCCUGUGUAGCGGUGAAAUGCGUAGAUAUAAGAAGGAACAUCAGUGGCGAAGGCGACCACCUGAACUGAUACUGACACUGAGGUGCGAAAGCGUGGGGAGCAAACAGGAUUAGAUACCCGUGUAGUCCCUGUCUCUUAUAU
RNAcentral lists this ribosomal RNA (301 nucleotides) under uncultured bacterium. RNAcentral's name for it is "partial 16S ribosomal RNA". It matches the Rfam family "Bacterial small subunit ribosomal RNA", at positions 509 to 809 of the family's 1533-position model. The record is from RNAcentral.